Molecule: ribosomal RNA, 529 nt
Filed under: uncultured bacterium
Lineage: Bacteria
Description: bacterial SSU rRNA
Rfam family: Bacterial small subunit ribosomal RNA
Source: RNAcentral
AGAGUUUGAUCCUGGCUCAGAUUGAACGCUGGCGGCAUGCCUAACACAUGCAAGUCGAACGGCAGCACAGCAGCAGCAAUACUGUGGGUGGCGAGUGGCGGACGGGUGAGUAAUGCAUCGGGACCUGCCCAGACGUGGGGGAUAACGUAGGGAAACUUACGCUAAUACCGCAUACGUCCUACGGGAGAAAGCGGGGGAUCGAAAGACCUCGCGCGGUUGGAUGGACCGAUGUUCGAUUAGCUUGUUGGCGGGGUAAUGGCCCACCAAGGCGACGAUCGAUAGCUGGUCUGAGAGGAUGAUCAGCCACACUGGGACUGAGACACGGCCCAGACUCCUACGGGAGGCAGCAGUGGGGAAUAUUGGACAAUGGGCGCAAGCCUGAUCCAGCAAUGCCGCGUGUGUGAAGAAGGCCUUCGGGUUGUAAAGCACUUUUAUCAGGAACGAAACACUGUCGGCUAAUACCCGGCGGGACUGACGGUACCUGAGGAAUAAGCACCGGCUAACUUCGUGCCAGCAGCCGCGGUAAUAC